RNAcentral lists this ribosomal RNA (301 nucleotides) under uncultured bacterium. RNAcentral describes it as "partial 16S ribosomal RNA". It matches the Rfam family "Bacterial small subunit ribosomal RNA", at positions 509 to 807 of the family's 1533-position model. The record is from RNAcentral.
CAGCAGCCACGGUAAUACGAAGGGUGCAAGCGUUACUCGGAAUUACUGGGCGUAAAGCGUGCGUAGGUGGUGGUUUAAGUCCGUUGUGAAAGCCCUGGGCUCAACCUGGGAAUUGCAGUGGAUACUGGGUCACUAGAGUGUGGUAGAGGAUAGUGGAAUUUCCGGUGUAGCAGUGAAAUGCGUAGAGAUCGGAAGGAACAUCUGUGGCGAAGGCGACUAUCUGGGCCAACACUGACACUGAGGCACGAAAGCGUGGGGAGCAAACAGGAUUAGAUACCCCUGUAGUCCCUGUCUCUUAUAC